Molecule: ribosomal RNA, 619 nt
Filed under: uncultured bacterium
Lineage: Bacteria
Description: bacterial SSU rRNA
Rfam family: Bacterial small subunit ribosomal RNA
Source: RNAcentral
CCUACGGGAGGCAGCAGUGGGGAAUUUUGGACAAUGGGCGCAAGCCUGAUCCAGCAAUGCCGCGUGAGUGAAGAAGGCCUUCGGGUUGUAAAGCUCUUUUGUCAGGGAAGAAACGGCCGAGGCUAAUACCUUUGGCUAAUGACGGUACCUGAAGAAUAAGCACCGGCUAACUACGUGCCAGCAGCCGCGGUAAUACGUAGGGUGCAAGCGUUAAUCGGAAUUACUGGGCGUAAAGCGUGCGCAGGCGGUUUUGUAAGUCUGACGUGAAAUCCCCGGGCUCAACCUGGGAAUUGCGUUGGAGACUGCAGGGCUGGAGUCUGGCAGAGGGGGGUAGAAUUCCACGUGUAGCAGUGAAAUGCGUAGAGAUGUGGAGGAACACCGAUGGCGAAGGCAGCCCCCUGGGUCAAGACUGACGCUCAUGCACGAAAGCGUGGGGAGCAAACAGGAUUAGAUACCCUGGUAGUCCACGCCCUAAACGAUGUCUACUAGUUGUCGGGUCUUAAUUGACUUGGUAACGCAGCUAACGCGUGAAGUAGACCGCCUGGGGAGUACGGUCGCAAGAUUAAAACUCAAAGGAAUUGACGGCUGAGACGNGCGACGACGACGACGAGGGAGGAGG